AUUGAACGCUGGCGGCGUGCUUAACACAUGCAAGUCGUGCGGUAACAGGCGUAGCAAUACGUGCUGACGAGCGGCGAACGGGUGCGUAAUACAUGGGAGUCUGCCUUUUAGUGGGGAAUAACCCGGCGAAAGCCGGGCUAAUGCCGCAUAAGAUCUUCGGAUGAAAGCGGGGGAUCGUAAGACCUCGCGCUGAUAGAUGAGCCCAUGCCGGAUUAGCAGUUGGUGAGGUAACGGCUCACCAAGGCGACGAUCCGUAGCUGGUCUGAGAGGACGGCCAGCCACACUGGGACUGAGACACGGCCCAGACUCCUACGGGAGGCAGCAGUGGGGAAUAUUGGACAAUGGGGAAACCCUGAUCCAGCGACGCCGCGUGUGUGAAGAAGGCCUGCGGGUUGUAAAGC
Molecule: ribosomal RNA, 401 nt
Filed under: uncultured bacterium
Lineage: Bacteria
Description: bacterial SSU rRNA
Rfam family: Bacterial small subunit ribosomal RNA
Source: RNAcentral